Long non-coding RNA from Mesocricetus auratus (golden hamster), 168 nucleotides. RefSeq lists it as uncharacterized. The transcript has 2 exons. NCBI's taxonomy places the organism in Eukaryota, Metazoa, Chordata, Mammalia, Rodentia, Cricetidae. The record is from RefSeq and is a predicted model, not a curated record.
GAAAUUCAAAACAGCAACUGACAGGACGUCUGCUCCCAAUGUCAGAGUGGGUCACUGUGUGACUGUGAUGAUCUGGGGGCCACUGGAUAGCUGCUGUAACUUUAAGAACAGGGACAGGAGAUCAGUUUCCUGGUCCAGUAGAACAAAAUCGGAUGAUAAAUAUUCCAG